This 106-nucleotide ribosomal RNA is filed under the name uncultured bacterium. RNAcentral's name for it is "partial 16S ribosomal RNA". The record is from RNAcentral.
GGUCUUCGGAUCGUAAACCUCUGUCAGCAGGGAAGAACGGUCACUUGUGCUAAUCAGCAGUGAAUUAGACGGUACCUGCAAAGGAAGCACCGGCUAACUCCGUGCC